CGCAAGCACUCAUCUAAAUGAAUAUUUGAAGUCCAGGAUUUUUCUGGAACGGCCAGGUUUGAACAACACCAGAGACUGAAUGCAAUGCAAAAAGACCAAGAGAUCAUGUGGUUUGUGUUUUAUCUGUUUUAAUACCACUAACAUGAGAUCCAGAUCCCUCCGCCCACCCUCCAUAACAAAUAACAAUAAUGCUGAGUGUUCCGUAUGAAAAUUCUAAGACAGCCCAAUCAGCCAACUCCAGUCACCCUGAUUAACUAAAGCCACAUGCAGUUUAGGCAAGUAUCAAAAGAGUAAACAAAACAAACUAAAAACAGAUCGAGUAAGUAGUAG
Molecule: long non-coding RNA, 330 nt
Organism: Sinocyclocheilus grahami
Lineage: Eukaryota; Metazoa; Chordata; Actinopteri; Cypriniformes; Cyprinidae
Exons: 2
Source: RefSeq, a predicted model, not a curated record